GAUGAACGCUCGCUACAGGCUUAACACAUGCAAGUCGCGGGGCAGCAUGGGGUUGCUUGCACUCCCCGAUGGCGACCGGCGCACGGGUGAGUAACGCGUAUCCAACCUGCCCUUCACCACGGGAUAACCCGGCGAAAGUCGGACUAAUACCGUAUGUUGUCCAUUGACGGCAUCCGACUUGGACGAAAGGGUUGGCGGUGGAGGAUGGGGAUGCGUCUGAUUAGCUGGACGGCGGGGUGACGGCCCACCGUGGCGACGAUCGGUAGGGGUUCUGGGAGGAAGGUCCCCCACACUGGAACUGAGACACGGUCCAGACGCCUACGGGAGGCAGCAGUGAGGAAUAUUGGUCAAUGGGCGUAAGCCUGAACCAGCCAAGUAGCGUGCAGGAUGACGGCCCUAUGGGUUGUAAACUGCUUUUAUGCGGGGAUAAAGUGGCCCACGUGUGGGUUUUUGCAGGUACCGCAUGAAUAAGGACCGGCUAAUUCCGUG
RNAcentral lists this ribosomal RNA (489 nucleotides) under uncultured bacterium. RNAcentral's name for it is "partial 16S ribosomal RNA". It matches the Rfam family "Bacterial small subunit ribosomal RNA", at positions 28 to 507 of the family's 1533-position model. The record is from RNAcentral.